AUUGAACGCUGGCGGCAUGCUUUACACAUGCAAGUCGAACGGCAGCGCGGGCUUCGGCCUGGCGGCGAGUGGCGAACGGGUGAGUAAUACAUCGGAACGUGCCCAGUAGUGGGGGAUAGCUCGGCGAAAGCCGGAUUAAUACCGCAUACGACCUGAGGGUGAAAGCGGGGGAUCUUCGGACCUCGCGCUAUUGGAGCGGCCGAUGGCAGAUUAGCUAGUUGGUGGGGUAAAGGCCUACCAAGGCGACGAUCGGUAGCUGGUCUGAGAGGACGACCAGCCACACUGGGACUGAGACACGGCCCAGACUCCUACGGGAGGCAGCAGUGGGGAAUUUUGGACAAUGGGCGAAGGCCUGAUCCAGCAAUGCCGCGUGUGUGAUGAAGGCCUUCGGGUUGUAAAGCACUUUUGGCGGGAACGAAAAGGACUGUGCCAAUACCACGGUUCGAUGACGGUACCCGCAGAAUAAGCACCGGCUAACUACGUG
Molecule: ribosomal RNA, 484 nt
Filed under: uncultured bacterium
Lineage: Bacteria
Description: partial 16S ribosomal RNA
Rfam family: Bacterial small subunit ribosomal RNA
Source: RNAcentral